GCGCCUGUAGCUCAAUGGCAGAGCACUGAUCUUAUAAGUCAGGGGUUCUUGGUUCGAAUCCAAGCAGGCGCA
Molecule: transfer RNA, 72 nt
Filed under: bacterium
Lineage: Bacteria
Also listed under: 1 other name
Description: tRNA-Ile
Rfam family: tRNA
About the family: Transfer RNA (tRNA) molecules are approximately 80 nucleotides in length.
Source: RNAcentral